UCCAGAUGCAAUUAAUUAAGAUGAGAUUAUAUCGAGUAGGUUGGGCCCUUAAUUCAAUAUGACUGGAAUCUGUACAGAAGAUGGCCACAUGAAGACACAUAGAGAGGAUGCCAUGUAAAUGAAGAAGGCAGAAGCUGGAGUUAUGUAGCUGUAAGCCAAGGAACACCAAAGAUUGCCAGCAACCACCAGAAACUAGAAAAAGGCAAGGAAUAUUCCCCCUAAUGUUUUCAAAGGGAGCAUAGCCCUGGUGACAUCUUGAUUUUGAACAUCUAGCCAUCCAGUAUUUGGUACUUUGUUAUAGGAAAGAGAUAGAAUGAUUAAAUAUCCAAUGGAAAUAUCUAGAUGUGAAUAGUCAGUAAUGAUGAUCUAUCAAAGAUAGAUGAUAUGGAAUAAGGAUGAGAGAAUUGGAACUUUCUUGUAAUGUGACAAAGACUCACCUUGAUCAAACUUUAGUCAGGCUCCUCUGAGCCUUUUUAUUGACUAGGGCUUGAACUUAGCAUCCCAUAUCCAUCUCAUCCUUGAUGGGCUUGAAUAGCCCAGUUUUAGCAAGAAUUCUCCAAAAUCAGUUUAGAGAGGAUCCUCAUCCUUGACCUUCAUUCCUCACCUUUGACAUCUAAGUCCUUGGCUUGUCUUUAACAAGAAUCCUAUUAAGCCAGUUUAGCAAGAGUCUCUCUACACUUGAAGUCUCCUUGUAGUAGUUUGCCAUCCAUUUAUUCUUACUCUGCUCAUUAACUAUAAAUCUCCAGCUUUCUUUGCUGUAUUUGGAGUUGAGAUUGCUCUCUUCCCCUUAUUGCAGUAAUCUUUAAUAAACUCUUACCAUUUUUAACAAGUGCCAGAAUGAUUUUUUUCUUAAAUAAAUGCUAGUGGGAGCAUAUAUCAGCAAAGUCCUUUUGAAAAUGUUAACAUCCAUCAAAUUUUACACAUCUAUUUUAACUAAGCAAUUCUAUAUUUUGGCACUGGUAUCACAGAAAUAACAAAUAUGCAAAGAAGUAUGGACACAAAUAUUCACUGCACAUUAUAAUAAAAACUGGAAACAGAAUAAACAUCUGUUGCAAGGAAAGAGCCACCCUUAAACGCGUGUCUUUCUACAAUGCCAGGUUGAGUGGAACCUUCUCAGAUAAACCAAUCAGGUAUCUACACAGGUUAACAACACAUAGAGAGGGGAAGUAGAGUCUUACACAACAGAGUAAAGGGAUGAAAGUCCUUAGCAGUCUCCCAAAUGAGCUCUGUUGGCUGGCAGAGCAGAUGGUUUCGUAGGUUCCAAGCCAGCGGCAACAGCAGGCAAAAGGUCAGCAUCUUCAGCUCUCAGCAUACCUGUUUGUGAUGCUCUUGAGUCAGUCUUGAGUACCAUCUGUCUGAGGUGUUCAACUUAUAUGGUCAUUAUGGGGCAAAAUCCUUAUGCUUGCGACUCCUGCAGUCUAGGCUAAUCCAGUGCAGUCGUGGCUGUGGUCUCUGUGGUUUUGGGCAGUCCAGGCAGACCCUAAGGGCGUUCCCAUUAUGUGCCAGUUGACGUUACUGUCAUGGCUCCUAUGGAAUCCAUUUUAUAAAGAUCCCAAAGUUCUCAGUUCUUAUGCUCUAUAAAACAUCCAUCUAAAAGGUAUUAAUAAUAUACCCCUCUAAUGCAACAUCAUACAGCCAAGAAAAAACAUGAUGUAAUUCUAAAUAUUCUGACCUGAUACUAUGAUUAUACUGUAUUAAGGGUCAAAACAAGUUGUAAAUAAGUAGAAACAGCUCUUUUUAAAAAAUGUAUUUGUGUAGUGGUCUGCACUGAAUAAAGUCAAGGUUAAGCACCCGCAAACACUGGUUACAUUUGGUAAGUUGAUAAAGCUCGGGAAAUUGCUACAAUUAUCCCAUCAAGCACUACUCUUUGGUUUAAACUGACCGUGUUUACUCUGAAACAACCGACUUCUCACCAUCCCAAGGCGCGGAGAUCGCCGGGAAAUGUAGUCCUUUUUCCUCGCGCAGCACUCUAGGUCUGUAUGGGCUCUCUCUGCGCAUGUGCAACCUGAGCCCGGCUUCUCCGUCCGUCCUCGCUGGGGAGACGCGCCCCAAGCGUCUGGGUGUACGCGAGUGCGGGGCCUGCGCACGGCGCCGGGACCUUGAGCGGCGCAGGCACGUUGCUCAGAGUGGUGUCCUUGUGCCGGCGGCAGGAGCGGCAGUUCUCGGGAAACGGCCCAGCUUAGGCGGGGCCCAUAGUGCCCGCCUCCGGCCGGUUUCGAUCUCGGCCGGUGAAGGCCGGGGGGAUGAUCUCCGCGCUGGCCUCGCGGUCUCGGGGGCCAGGCGCUCGGAGCGUGUGGGAAUUGGUGCGCCGAGCCCCGCCUGCAGCCGGACUCGGGUAAAGCCCUCGCCGGCCGCGGGAGGGGAAAGCGCAUUCGUUGACGGCGAGCGUGCCAGAAAGUGCGGGCGGUAGGUCUGCGGUGGAGCCCGACCUCUGGAGGCGGAAAAGCCCAGUACAUUUUCUCGUCACCUGCAACCCAAACCGAGAGAAAUAACCUGGAUGCGAGUCAGGGCCCCGCGUCUGAAAAUGAAGAUGUUAAUAACGUCCACUUAAAGGCGUGGAUCCGAGAGUUGGAUACAUCAUUUGUAAAGCAGUUAGCAAAGUGCCAGCUGAACCUUCCUUCACAGUCCUCCACACUCUCUCAAAAGCCUACAGAAAAUGAACACACCUCAGGUCCACACACAUGAAGGCAGAAUGACCCAGGCAGACUGAUACCAUGACUGACUUCAGGACCUGAUGCAAUGAUCAACUGCCUCUACCUCCGCCCGACUAAUCAGGAGAGCCCAUGACCCCAACUCCCUUAGUCCUCACAGGUUCCUCCAUAAAAUAAACCAGCAAGUGCGACCUAGACCUAGUCCUGCGAACCCGCGGAAGAUCUUAAGUUCUUGUUCUGGGAACUAGAUAAGUCCACAUGACUAGUUUAUAUUUUCUAGGUUGCAAGGCUUCCUACCACUUCUACAUGCUGGAAUGACCUCACGUUGUCUGCCUCCCGGGCCCUUAGAAUAGGCUUUCCGAGAUUUGUAUUCCCAGUAGGCAGGGACUACAGCCCUAUCUCAGCUUUGAAGAAGUUAUAGAAGACAGACCUUC
Molecule: long non-coding RNA, 3085 nt
Organism: Pteropus alecto (black flying fox)
Lineage: Eukaryota; Metazoa; Chordata; Mammalia; Chiroptera; Pteropodidae
Exons: 5
Source: RefSeq, a predicted model, not a curated record